GACGAACGCUGGCGGCGUGCUUAACACAUGCAAGUCGAGCGGUAAGGCCCCUUCGGGGGUACACGAGCGGCGAACGGGUGAGUAACACGUGAGCAACCUACCCUUCACUUCGGGAUAAGCCUCGGAAACGGGGUCUAAUACCGGAUAUCACUUCGGGUUUCAUGACCUGGGGUUGAAAGUUCUGGCGGUGGGGGAUGGGCUCGCGGCCUAUCAGCUUGUUGGUGGGGUAAUGGCCUACCAAGGCGUCGACGGGUAGCCGGCCUGAGAGGGCGACCGGCCACACUGGGACUGAGACACGGCCCAGACUCCUACGGGAGGCAGCAGUGGGGAAUAUUGCGCAAUGGACGAAAGUCUGACGCAGCAACGCCGCGUGAGGGAUGACGGCCUUCGGGUUGUAAACCUCUUUCAGCAGGGACGAAGCGAGAGUGACGGUACCUGCAGAAGAAGGACCGGCCAACUACGUG
This 464-nucleotide ribosomal RNA is filed under the name uncultured Kribbella sp. Its description in RNAcentral is "bacterial SSU rRNA". It matches the Rfam family "Bacterial small subunit ribosomal RNA", at positions 28 to 507 of the family's 1533-position model. Lineage: Bacteria; Bacillati; Actinomycetota; Actinomycetes; Propionibacteriales; Kribbellaceae. The record is from RNAcentral.